Molecule: unclassified non-coding RNA, 296 nt
Filed under: Paraglomus occultum
Lineage: Eukaryota; Fungi; Glomeromycota; Glomeromycetes; Paraglomerales; Paraglomeraceae
Description: partial contains 5.8S ribosomal RNA and internal transcribed spacer 2
Rfam family: 5.8S ribosomal RNA (bases 1-65)
Source: RNAcentral
GUGAAUCAUCGAAUCUUUGAACGCAAAUUGCGCCUUUUUCUGAAGGCAUGUCUGUUUGAGUUCACCAUUUAACAAAUAAUGUGCAUUUCGUGUGCACUCGUUGAUGAGCUUUCCAUAUUUAUGUAUUAUUUUUGGUGGCGCAUAAUAAACAGCGCGAUUCUUUUUUUUAGUUCGAGUUUAGUAAAAUUUUUUCUUGCUUGGGUUGUGAAAAGCGUGAUCGCGCUAUGGGUGUUGUAAUUUUAGUUCAUCCCUGCCUCAACGCCACUCUUUCGCGCGAACGUUUUAAUCUUCAGGGC